Molecule: long non-coding RNA, 440 nt
Organism: Ictalurus punctatus (channel catfish)
Lineage: Eukaryota; Metazoa; Chordata; Actinopteri; Siluriformes; Ictaluridae
Exons: 3
Source: RefSeq, a predicted model, not a curated record
AGGAGUUAGAGCUGGUCUGAGACCUCGGCACGGAGAGGUGUUUGGAGAGAAAAAGGCGCAUUCUGGCUGGAUGAGGCAGACGUAACGAGAUCCCGUACGCGCUUUGUAAGCUCUUUCCGGCCCAUGGCUUUUCCAGUUGGAUGUUACCAGGAAGAUGUCAGGAAAAUCCUAUAGGAACAGCUGUACUUCAUUUGGGGGUAAUCACAUUAACUGACGCACUUUUAACAGUAGACAUGGUCACAAAGCAGCAGGAAUGAUGCAGAGGUGAAAGUGGUGAGAAACUCCCUGAGAUGACUUGAGGGUACAAAGAAGGUAUGCAUCGAGGCUCUUUCUGAAUGAACGUGCCCUAGAUGUUCGAUCAGCAGAGUCACUGGUUGUCUUCAAAUGACUACUAAAGGCAUUUUCAUGAACUCAUGAAGUACUUAAAUGAGCAAAUCCAU